ACACAUGCGAGUUUUUGCUGGCUUGAGAACAAGCAAGGAAAAAGACAAAUCCCACCUACCCUAGCCUAAAAUACACAGUGAGUCUCAGAACCCCGCGGAAGCUGUGGCUCAUUUCUAAAGGUGCUGGCAAUAUCGAGGAAGACUUGUAUCCACAAAAUUCCAAAUGGAAAAGAGAGAAAAGAGAACAACAAACAGAUGUGUGAAAAAAAGACACGAAGUACAAAACGGAUGUAUUAAUGGCAAAUAGAGUAAACUUGAAGCCUGAAAUUGCAGCACUCAUUUGGUGACCAGGAGUGGGCAAACAGAAGGACAAAGGCCUACAAGAUUAAAUAAUCAAGUCAUUAUUGUGAAUUUGGAUCUAAAUGACCUGGCAGAAACCAUGGAGAUGAUCUUGGAUUUAAAGAGGAAAAACUCAAAGCAAUGUAUUCUGAUCAAGAAAUGGCAGGAAAUGGCAGCUACCUGAUAUGGAACAAUCAACAACUGAAGGUUUAUUUUGAAUGAGAGGUGUUGUCCAACUGCGAGACGGAGUGAUUGAAGCUGAGAAUAAAUGGAAACACAAUCAAUAGUCACUCCAGUGAGGUAGGAAAGAAAGCCAUUCCGAAGUGGCAGAGAAGCUGCUUUUUCCUCCUGCAUGCUGCCUGCUAGUGUGGAUCUUGGCAUAACAGACACUACUUGGCAAAAGAUCCAUCCUUCCUUUUCCUAUACUUUGCUCAGCGGCCUGGAAGAUUGACCUCAAAAGCAAAAUCACCUGGAUUUCCUUGCCAUUUGGCUUUCAAAUGUGCUCAGCCAAUGACAGGCUGGAAAGAAAUUGACAGCUGGGAAAAGAGGAAGAUUUGUGUACAAGAUCCCUUCCACUCCCAUCUCAUUACCUGCCAUGGUCCUAGCAGUGGCUGUUCUUAUUAUGGCCACAACUACUCUUGGACAGGCCAACAUCCACAACUCCAUCCUUCAACUAGGCUUCAUUAACACUGUCCCUCACCCUUAUCUCUUUCUGGGUAGGGGUGAUAAAGGUUUCCUGACAUCAGAGUUCCUGAGUGCCUCAUAUAUUCUUGUUGGUCCCUGAACCUUGCCCCAACAUCAAUAAAAAGUUCCUUCAUUAAAUAA
Homo sapiens (human) is the source of this 1104-nucleotide long non-coding RNA. RefSeq lists it as uncharacterized. NCBI's taxonomy places the organism in Eukaryota, Metazoa, Chordata, Mammalia, Primates, Hominidae. The record is from RefSeq and is a predicted model, not a curated record. The transcript is spliced from 7 exons.